RNAcentral lists this ribosomal RNA (403 nucleotides) under Enterococcus faecalis. RNAcentral describes it as "bacterial LSU rRNA". It matches the Rfam family "Bacterial large subunit ribosomal RNA", at positions 15 to 410 of the family's 2925-position model. Lineage: Bacteria; Bacillati; Bacillota; Bacilli; Lactobacillales; Enterococcaceae. The record is from RNAcentral.
GGGCGCACGGUGGAUGCCUUGGCACUAGGAGCCGAUGAAGGACGGGACGAACACCGAUAUGCUUCGGGGAGCUGUAAGCAAGCUUUGAUCCGGAGAUUUCCGAAUGGGGAAACCCACCACUCGUAAUGGAGUGGUAUCCAUAUCUGAAUUCAUAGGAUAUGAGAAGGCAGACCCGGGGAACUGAAACAUCUAAGUACCCGGAGGAAGAGAAAGCAAAUGCGAUUCCCUGAGUAGCGGCGAGCGAAACGGGAUUAGCCCAAACCAAGAGGCUUGCCUCUUGGGGUUGUAGGACACUCUGUACGGAGUUACAAAGGAACGAGGUAGAUGAAGAGGUCUGGAAAGGCCCGCCAUAGGAGGUAACAGCCCUGUAGUCAAAACUUCGUUCUCUCCUGAGUGGAUCCUG